This 1169-nucleotide long non-coding RNA is filed under the name Homo sapiens (human). RNAcentral describes it as "small nucleolar RNA host gene 17, transcript variant 57 (SNHG17)". The record is from RNAcentral. Lineage: Eukaryota; Metazoa; Chordata; Mammalia; Primates; Hominidae.
AGUCCUUCGCCGUCCCUCGCCGUCCUUCGCCAUCGCACGCCACCGCACCCCAUCUCUCGAAAUCUGCAGACAUCUUGAUUUUUCCCACGCUGUCUGUCAGGUCUCCGCCGCCACUCGACGCCAGGGCGCCGGGCCUUGUGGGCUGUGCUGCACCUCGGACGGCUUCGCACCAGCCAGCGCCCUCUCUCUCCUGCAGCACUCUGAUCUGCACCCCCUGAGGGGCUUCCACUGUCCGCGGGGUGAGAAUGCCCCUGGGAGUGUCACAUGACUGCCGCCCCAUGUGUGUGAGAGGCGUCCUCUGGGAGAGCAUGGAUCCUGAGGUCCCAGGAACAUCCCGAGAGCCAAGUUCCCAGAUGCCAGCCAAGGGCCAUCUGACCUGUUUUGAAUCUCAAUUUCCUGAUACAGAAAACAAAGGAUUGUCAGCUGACCUCUGUCCUGUGUGCCCAGUGGCCCCAGGUGACGUGUCUUCAAGAAGAGGCUGAGCUGCGGUGCUUGUAAGGGUCUCAUUCUGUCACCCAGGCUGGAGUGCAGUGGUGCAAUGAUGGCUCACUGCAGCCUCGACCUGGGCUCAAGUGAUCCUCCACCUCAGCUUCCUGAGUAGCUGGGACCACAGAGUCAUGUGCUGUUCCUGGGGCUUGGAUGAUGUAGGGGAAGCAAGGUGAAAGUGGUAUCCCGUGGUUCCACGUUCUGUCCUGCUGUGGGGCUGUCCCUCACAUGCUUUCAGUGGCUGUUGCAGAGGAAGAGCCUCCGGAAAUCUGCGUGGGUCUCAGCCUUAGAUCCAAGGACAGUCCAAGGAAGUCCUAAGACCAUGGAGUUGGUGAUCUGGGAUCUGGGUUUGCUGAUAUUUCUCACCGUGAAUCUCUUGGUGGUGUUUGUGGGCACGAGAGGGGCAGAGAAUGGAGAGUGAGGCUACCACAUGAAGCGUCACCAGAGCUGCUCCCUGCUGCCUGCUCAGAGCACCCCGGAUCCACUGUUCAAUCUGCACAAGAUUCGGGGUCCAGACAUGGGAGACUUCAGCUGCCUCAGAGGACCGUGGACAGGGAAGGCCAGCCUCGCAUCCCUCUGUCCAUGCCUGGAAUGACUUUAAUAACCAAGAGUUUUAUUUUUGAAUUUGUAGCUGUCGUUCACUUUUUACCCACCCAUUCAAUAAACCUUACAGAAUUGCUCCA